GGGGAUGUAGCUCAGUUAGUAAAGUGCUUGCUUUGUACACAUAAGGGCCUGGGUUCACCUCCCAGCAUCCCAU
This is a non-coding RNA of Mesocricetus auratus (golden hamster), 73 nucleotides long. NCBI's taxonomy places the organism in Eukaryota, Metazoa, Chordata, Mammalia, Rodentia, Cricetidae. The record is from Rfam.